UGGCAUCGNUAGGAGCGGGAGCAAGGCUAUCCAAGAGUGGCGAACGGGUGAGUAAUAUAUCGGAACGUGCCCAGUCAUGGGGGAUAACGUAGCGAAAGUUACGCUAAUACCGCAUACGAUCUACGGAUGAAAGCGGGGGAUCGCAAGACCUCGCGCGACUGGAGCGGCCGAUAUCAGAUUAGGUAGUUGGUGGGGUAAAGGCUCACCAAGCCAACGAUCUGUAGCUGGUCUGAGAGGACGACCAGCCACACUGGAACUGAGACACGGUCCAGACUCCUACGGGAGGCAGCAGUGGGGAAUUUUGGACAAUGGACGCAAGUCUGAUCCAGCCAUUCCGCGUGCAGGAUGAAGGCCCUCGGGUUGUAAACUGCUUUUGUACGGAACGAAAAGGUCUCUCCUAAUACGAGAGGCUCAUGACGGUACCGUAAGAAUAAGCACCGGCUAACUACGUGCCAGCAGCCGCGGUAAUACGUAGGGUGCAAGCGUUAAUCGGAAUUACUGGGCGUAAAGCGUGCGCAGGCGGUUAUAUAAGACAGAUGUGAAAUCCCCGGGCUCAACCUGGGAACUGCAUUUGUGACUGUAUAGCUAGAGUACGGUAGAGGGGGAUGGAAUUCCGCGUGUAGCAGUGAAAUGCGUAGAUAUGCGGAGGAACACCGAUGGCGAAGGCAAUCCCCUGGACCUGUACUGACGCUCAUGCACGAAAGCGUGGGGAGCAAACAGGAUUAGAUACCCUGGUAGUCCACGCCCUAAACGAUGUCAACUGGUUGUUGGGUCUUAACUGACUCAGUAACGAAGCUAACGCGUGAAGUUGACCGCCU
This 818-nucleotide ribosomal RNA is filed under the name uncultured beta proteobacterium. Its description in RNAcentral is "bacterial SSU rRNA". It matches the Rfam family "Bacterial small subunit ribosomal RNA", at positions 72 to 874 of the family's 1533-position model. The record is from RNAcentral. Lineage: Bacteria; Pseudomonadati; Pseudomonadota; Betaproteobacteria.